Long non-coding RNA from Rhinolophus ferrumequinum (greater horseshoe bat), 317 nucleotides. RefSeq lists it as uncharacterized. The record is from RefSeq and is a predicted model, not a curated record. The transcript has 3 exons. Lineage: Eukaryota; Metazoa; Chordata; Mammalia; Chiroptera; Rhinolophidae.
UCAGGGUGUUUUGGCCGAGUCACUGAAAUAAAAAACUAUAUAACCUUGAGUGCCUCUUGGAUUCCAGAAGCAUUAAUUCAUGUCCUCACACUCUAGCACUUUAAGGUUAAUGGAUGCCUCAGAGGCCAGCCGUGGACCUGCCCUGGAGAACUUGGCCUCUUAGUACCAAGUGGACCAUGCAGAGCAGACAGCUAAGAGACGGCAGGAGGGACGGUGUGAACUCUGACCGCUGGGCCAAUCUAAAGUCAACCGUGACAACAAACCGAGAGUUAUGUCAAAAGCUAAGGAAUCAGCCCGAUUUAUGCAUUUUAAGUUAC